RNAcentral lists this unclassified non-coding RNA (142 nucleotides) under uncultured Mycosphaerellaceae. Lineage: Eukaryota; Fungi; Ascomycota; Dothideomycetes; Mycosphaerellales; Mycosphaerellaceae. The record is from RNAcentral.
CUGAGUGAGGGAGCAAUCCCGACCUCCAACCCUUUGUGAACGCAUCAUGUUGCUUCGGGGGCGACCCUGCCGUUCGCGGCAUUCCCCCCGGAGGUAAUCAAAACACUGCAUUCUUACGUCGGAAUAAAAAGUUAAUUUAAUA